AAAAAAAAAUUGAAAC
Molecule: small RNA, 16 nt
Filed under: Arabidopsis thaliana (thale cress)
Lineage: Eukaryota; Viridiplantae; Streptophyta; Magnoliopsida; Brassicales; Brassicaceae
Description: ATSL126990
Source: RNAcentral